GACGAACGCUGGCGGCGUGCUUAACACAUGCAAGUCGAACGGAAAGGCCCUGCUUUUGUGGGGUGCUCGAGUGGCGAACGGGUGAGUAACACGUGAGUAACCUGCCCUUGACUUUGGGAUAACUUCAGGAAACUGGGGCUAAUACCGGAUAGGAGCUCCUGCUGCAUGGUGGGGGUUGGAAAGUUUCGGCGGUUGGGGAUGGACUCGCGGCUUAUCAGCUUGUUGGUGGGGUAGUGGCUUACCAAGGCUUUGACGGGUAGCCGGCCUGAGAGGGUGACCGGCCUCAUUGGGACUGAGAUACGGCCCAGACUCCUACGGGAGGCAGCAGUGGGGAAUAUUGCGCAAUGGGCGGAAGCCUGAUGCAGCAACGCCGCGUGCGGGAUGACGGCCUUCGGGUUGUAAACCGCUUUCGCCUGUGACGAAGCGUGAGUGACGGUAAUGGGUAAAGAAGCACCGGCUAACUACGUG
This 468-nucleotide ribosomal RNA is filed under the name uncultured bacterium. RNAcentral's name for it is "partial 16S ribosomal RNA". It matches the Rfam family "Bacterial small subunit ribosomal RNA", at positions 28 to 507 of the family's 1533-position model. The record is from RNAcentral.